CCGGCAGCAAAGACCCCUUCUGCGUUAGUUGAGAAUCUUCCAUACUCGGCCUUCAAGUUGGAACGGUUGUCACGCUCCAAGCCUAUCUGGUCUGCAAUUGUCUGCAAAUAUCCACAAAAAAGAUAUUUCUUCACCCAUAAUGGAACGAGAAUUCAUGGGUCCAAGAGUUCAAAUGGAAAUCUUCAAAAAGCGUGAAAGAUAGUUCGGACAUUUAUAUGCACAUGUGUCAUUAUAACAUCAUGUAGUAUGAUUUCUUUCCCUUACUUUGAAAUAAUUUUUUUUAUCAUUAAAGUAAUUAAAAAAAAAUCAAACAUUUGUACGUACAUACAUCAUUAUAAUAACUUGUAGUAUGAAUUAUUUUCCUUA
This is a long non-coding RNA of Macadamia integrifolia, 366 nucleotides long. RefSeq lists it as uncharacterized. NCBI's taxonomy places the organism in Eukaryota, Viridiplantae, Streptophyta, Magnoliopsida, Proteales, Proteaceae. The record is from RefSeq and is a predicted model, not a curated record. The transcript is spliced from 2 exons.